AGAUGGGUGGAGCUAGGGAAAGCCUUCAUGGAAAGGGUUUCAUCUUUCUGAACAUUCACCACACUGGUGGACAAAUCCUUUUUGUGUGAGGAAGAUGUGGCUGUUGGGAGAGUCAAGUAAUUGAAUGACGUGAAUUUCCUGGAGUUUCCAUAAGUUCCUGUAAAUUUAGCCUCCAACUGAAAUAAACCAACUGAAUGUAAGACAUCAGACCCUAAAGAACCAAAGUUGUUAUUUCUGUGGAAGACCAGCCAACCUAUUCUCACAGCUGAAACAAUGGAUCUGGCCUGCAGAGUGUUAAGGCAUUCUCCAAGUUUCAAAACAAGAGUACACCAUUUUGAAGGCCUAUAAAUAGAAAGAAUUUUUCAAAUAUUAAUUCAGUAAUGACCUCUGUCUUUGGAAAAGAUAAUUGCAAUGUGUUACUGCGAACCAAUUUAAACCUGUAUUUCUCAUUGCAUUUAAUAUUUAAUUUUGUUUUUUAUCAUUAUAUAUCAACAGUUCUUUCUGGAGCAAAGCAAUCCUAUUUGACUUUUUUUUUUUUUAACCUUAUAGUGCACACACACAUGUAUGUGUAGGGUUAUUUAAACAAGGAAACAUUUACAUCAAAAUGUGCAAAGAGUUAUCCUGGAAUAGAAAUGCUGAAAAUAUAUUUUCAAGAAGUUUUAAAAUUCUAGGCUGGCCUCAAUGUAUUCAGUAGCAUGCCAGAAACAGAAAAAAAAAUUUAAUCUCUCCAUUUGCUUAUUCCUAUUAACAUAUAUAGAAAAAAAACUUGCUCUAAACCUAAUGCCUAUGCGAUAUGUUUGUUUCCUGAUGCUGAUGAUAAAUCAUAACCGGGCACUUGGUUAUAUUUUUUAAUGUUCUACAUUUCUAGCACUGCUACUGUAUUCACAAUGAGCUUUAUAUCUGACAGUAAUUUUAUUUUCAGGUUCAGUCAUAUGAUGCCUUUCUAUAGGAAUAGGUUCUAUCACAGGAACAAAUUAUUCAAAUCUAGUUUAACGGACUCAGCAAUUCUCCUCAGUUUUAUCUUGGGCAUUUUGUAUUCCUUUGCCUAAACCUAGUGGCUAUGUAACAAUUCAAUUACCAAAGUCCUUCAUCCAGAAAGUGCUGUUGAUUUCCAGUAAUUCUUAUUCUGUUUGAUUUCUUUUUUUUUUCCUCCUAGUUUAACACAUGCCAGUUGGUGUCGACUGAGUUAAAAAUCUUGAAAUAAGCCUGGCACUGUGUCAGUACAUAGGUUAAAAAAUGAAACAAAAAAAUUUAAUAAAAUAUACGCUAGAAAUGGAAAAUAAGAUUAGCAGUGGCAUUUCUUGUCAUAAGGACAUUUUCUGUCUAUGCACACAAAAUAAAACCAGCUCAGUGUAGCUGAAGAAGAGAGGAAAGAGAGAGGUGGUAUAAAUUGAAAGACGAAAAGGCAGAGACUGAGUGUACAGAAGCGCGUUGAGAGCAUGCAGUCAGCUGGCAAGAAAAGGCAACUCGAAGAGCCUCAGAAGGUAAAACCUCAGUUGGCAGAUAAAGUGGGUAAGAAGCAAGUUUUGAAAUAAAAUAGCAAUAGCAUAAGCAACUUGAAGGAAGAUGAAAAGAGCAAGGUGAUAAAAGUAUGCAAGAGUCUUUGGAGAUUAUUAGUAAUUUUAGGGAAUUACAAUGAUGAAAAGUUAUAAGGGAAAAAGACUUUACAUAUUCUUUAAUAAAAGAAA
This 1688-nucleotide long non-coding RNA is filed under the name Homo sapiens (human). RNAcentral describes it as "non-protein coding lnc-NUDT12-3:5". Lineage: Eukaryota; Metazoa; Chordata; Mammalia; Primates; Hominidae. The record is from RNAcentral.